AUUGAACGCUGGCGGCAGGCCUAACACAUGCAAGUCGAACGGUAACAGGAAGCAGCUUGCUGCUUCGCUGACGAGUGGCGGACGGGUGAGUCAUGUCUGGGAAGCUGCCUGAUGGAGGGGGAUAACUACUGGAAACGGUAGCUAAUACCGCAUAAUGCCGCAAGACCAAAGAGGGGGACCUUCGGGCCUCUUGCCAUCGGAUGUGCCCAGAUGGGAUUAGCUUGUUGGUGGGGUAACGGCCCACCAAGGCGACGAUCCCUAGCUGGUCUGAGAGGAUGACCAGCCACACUGGAACUGAGACACGGUCCAGACUCCUACGGGAGGCAGCAGUGGGGAAUAUUGCACAAUGGGCGCAAGCCUGAUGCAGCCAUGCCGCGUGUAUGAAGAAGGCCUUCGGGUUGUAAAGUACUUUCAGCGGGGAGGAAGGGGGUAAAGUUAAUACCUUUGCUCAUUGACGUUACCCGCAGAAGAAGCACCGGCUAACUCCGUG
This 490-nucleotide ribosomal RNA is filed under the name uncultured bacterium. RNAcentral's name for it is "partial 16S ribosomal RNA". It matches the Rfam family "Bacterial small subunit ribosomal RNA", at positions 30 to 507 of the family's 1533-position model. The record is from RNAcentral.